RNAcentral lists this ribosomal RNA (291 nucleotides) under uncultured bacterium. RNAcentral's name for it is "partial 16S ribosomal RNA". It matches the Rfam family "Bacterial small subunit ribosomal RNA", at positions 773 to 1060 of the family's 1533-position model. The record is from RNAcentral.
GUGGAUUAGAUACCCUGGUAGUCCACGCCCUAAACGAUGUCAACUAGGUGUUGGGUGGGUAAAACCAUUUAGUACCGUAGCUAACGCGUGAAGUUGACCGCCUGGGGAGUACGGCCGCAAGGUUAAAACUCAAAGGAAUUGACGGGGACCCGCACAAGCGGUGGAUGAUGUGGAUUAAUUCGAUGCAACGCGAAAAACCUUACCUACCCUUGACAUGUUCAGAAUCCCGGAGAGAUUUGGGAGUGCCCGAAAGGGAGCUGGAACACAGGUGCUGCACGGCCGUCGUCAACU